Molecule: ribosomal RNA, 443 nt
Filed under: uncultured bacterium
Lineage: Bacteria
Description: partial 16S ribosomal RNA
Rfam family: Bacterial small subunit ribosomal RNA
Source: RNAcentral
CCUACGGGUGGCAGCAGUGGGGAAUAUUGGGCAAUGGGCGCAAGCCUGACCCAGCAACGCCGCGUGAAGGAAGAAGGCUCUCGGGUUGUAAACUUCUUUUCUGAGGGACGAAGAAAGUGACGGUACUUCAUGAAUAAGCCACGGCUAACUACGUGCCAGCAGCCGCGGUAAUACGUAGGUGGCAAGCGUUAUCCGGAUUUACUGGGUGUAAAGGGCGUGUAGGCGGGAAAGCAAGUCAGAUGUGAAAACUCAGGGCUCAACCCUGGGCCUGCAUUUGAAACUGUUGUUCUUGAGUGCUGGAGAGGCAGUCGGAAUUCCGUGUGUAGCGGUGAAAUGCGUAGAUAUACGGAGGAACACCAGUGGCGAAGGCGGAUUGCUGGACAAUAACUGACGCUGAGGCGCGAAAGCGUGGGGAGCAAACAGGAUUAGAUACCCUAGUAGUC